GACGAACGCUGGCGGCGUGCUUAACACAUGCAAGUCGAGCGGAAAGGCCCUGCUUUUGUGGGGUGCUCGAGUGGCGAACGGGUGAGUAACACGUGAGUAACCUGCCCUUGACUUUGGGAUAACUUCAGGAAACUGGGGCUAAUACCGGAUAGGAGCUCCUGCUGCAUGGUGGGGGUUGGAAAGUUUCGGCGGUUGGGGAUGGACUCGCGGCUUAUCAGCUUGUUGGUGGGGUAGUGGCUUACCAAGGCUUUGACGGGUAGCCGGCCUGAGAGGGUGACCGGCCACAUUGGGACUGAGAUACGGCCCAGACUCCUACGGGAGGCAGCAGUGGGGAAUAUUGCACAAUGGGCGGAAGCCUGAUGCAGCAACGCCGCGUGCGGGAUGACGGCCUUCGGGUGGUAAACCGCUUUCGCCUGUGACGAAGCGUGAGUGACGGUAAUGGGUAAAGAAGCACCGGCUAACUACGU
RNAcentral lists this ribosomal RNA (467 nucleotides) under uncultured bacterium. RNAcentral describes it as "partial 16S ribosomal RNA". It matches the Rfam family "Bacterial small subunit ribosomal RNA", at positions 28 to 506 of the family's 1533-position model. The record is from RNAcentral.